CCGCCAUAAAUAGCCUACUACGCUUCGUGGUUUACUUUAUUCCUUUUGCGAGUAGUGAACAUUCUGGAUCGUGCUCAACAUUUACAGCCAUUUUUGAAGAAAUUUUUUCACGUGCCAAGCUGUAAUUUCAAAUGGUGUUGAAAUGAAGUCAACUAUUUUUUAUGUAGACAAGUGCUUAAACGUCUGCAAAACAGUAGCAAUGUGUCGAAGAGGAGUGAAUUCAAUGACAUAGAAUAAAAAAUACUGUUAUAGAGCGAUUAGUGAAAUGAAACAAUGAUUUGGAAAUACGUCUGUGAAUUGUUACGCAGAAAAUUGUCGAUAAUCCAAAAUGGCCGGUGCCAAUCGAUUACUUUACGAUCACCAACUUAGAGUUUUCGUUACAAACAACAUAAAACUGAUGGGUUAGAAAACCAUAAAUGUGGUUAGAAUGUCGCCGAAAAGUUAACCGACAAAAUGGCAUUCAUCGAUCAACUGGAACGAUGACACUGUGGAUGACAUGGAACGGCUGAACACAAGGAGAUCAACACAACUUCAUCAGUUGACAGGUGCCGAUGAUUGUGACAACUGUCACAAUGCAAAAAAAGGGACCCGCCUACUGGGACGAAUUCUGUGAUUGAUACAAAUGUGGCUGAAGAGCAGACACAGCCGGAGUAUUUUUUAUGCAGUUGCAGAAAAGAAGUUUACUAGAUAAAAAAAAUUUAUUAACACGUGGAAUUGUGUUCAGUUAGGAUCAAAAAUGUAUUCUCGAAAAAUGUCAGAGUAUUAUGACGAUCAUAGGUAUAAGUCUCCAAAUGUAUUAGUAGAUUGUAGAACAAACGAUAAAUAUUGUGUAGAACUAAGAACUUACUUUAAAAUUACAGCUGUAUAAUAAUAUGAAAAUACUGACAAUAAAAACUAUCAAUUCAAAAGCAA
This is a long non-coding RNA of Malaya genurostris, 912 nucleotides long. RefSeq lists it as uncharacterized. NCBI's taxonomy places the organism in Eukaryota, Metazoa, Arthropoda, Insecta, Diptera, Culicidae. The transcript has 4 exons. The record is from RefSeq and is a predicted model, not a curated record.